CCCUUAGAUGUCCUGGGCUGCACGCGCGCUACACUGAUUCAUGCAACAAGUUUUGUCCUUGGCUGAUAGGCCUGGGUAAUCUUUGAACGUGAAUCGUGAUGGGGAUAGAUGAUUGCAAUUAUUCAUCUUCAACGAGGAAUUCCUAGUAAACGCAAGUCAUCAGCUUGCAUUGAUUACGUCCCUGCCCUUUGUACACACCGCCCGUCGCACCUACCGAUUGAAUGGUCCGGUGAAAUCUUCGGAUCUGAGAGAUGUCUGAUUAAUUUCGGACGCCUUUUGGAAAAGUUGCUUAAACCUUACCAUUUAGAGGAAGGUGAAGUCGUAACA
RNAcentral lists this ribosomal RNA (327 nucleotides) under uncultured eukaryote. RNAcentral describes it as "partial 18S ribosomal RNA". It matches the Rfam family "Eukaryotic small subunit ribosomal RNA", at positions 1470 to 1796 of the family's 1831-position model. The record is from RNAcentral.